AUCCAACCUGACAGAGCUUGAGAGGAUCUGCAGAGAAGAACGGGAGGAACUUCCCAAAUACAGGUGGAGAGUGAGUGGGAUCACAGAAAGCAGCAUGCUGCUGACUGACCAGGGCCCAUAUUCAUAAAGCAUCUCGGAGUAGGAGUGGUGAUUUAGGAUCAGUUUUGUAGAUGUUAUCUAUGAUUGUAUUUUUGAUUUGUGUAUUUUAACUGUUGCUUGUAUUCUAUAAAAUGUGUAAAUUGUAAAAUGCAGGGCUCCCUUGUAAAAGAGACCUUGGUCUCAAUGGGACACCCUGUUGAAAUAAAGGUCAAAUCAAAAUAAAUAUA
This is a long non-coding RNA of Salmo salar (Atlantic salmon), 326 nucleotides long. RefSeq lists it as uncharacterized. NCBI's taxonomy places the organism in Eukaryota, Metazoa, Chordata, Actinopteri, Salmoniformes, Salmonidae. The record is from RefSeq and is a predicted model, not a curated record.